CCUACGGGAGGCUGCAGUGAGGAAUAUUGGUCAAUGGACGAGAGUCUGAACCAGCCAAGUAGCGUGAAGGAUGACUGCCCUAUGGGUUGUAAACUUCUUUUAUAUGGGAAUAAAAUGUUCCACGUGUGGGAUUUUGUAUGUACCAUAUGAAUAAGGAUCGGCUAACUCCGUGCCAGCAGCCGCGGUAAUACGGAGGAUCCGAGCGUUAUCCGGAUUUAUUGGGUUUAAAGGGAGCGUAGGUGGAUUGUUAAGUCAGUUGUGAAAGUUUGCGGCUCAACCGUAAAAUUGCAGUUGAAACUGGCAGUCUUGAGUACAGUAGAGGUGGGCGGAAUUCGUGGUGUAGCGGUGAAAUUCUUAGAUAUCACGAAGAACUCCGAUUGCGAAGGCAGUUCACUGGACUGCAACUGACACUGAGGCUCGAAAGUGUGGGUAUCAAACAGGAUUAGAUACCCUAGUAGUC
Molecule: ribosomal RNA, 460 nt
Filed under: uncultured bacterium
Lineage: Bacteria
Description: partial 16S ribosomal RNA
Rfam family: Bacterial small subunit ribosomal RNA
Source: RNAcentral